CCUACGGGCGGCUGCAGUGAGGAAUAUUGGUCAAUGGACGAGAGUCUGAACCAGCCAAGUAGCGUGAAGGAUGACUGCCCUAUGGGUUGUAAACUUCUUUUAUAUGGGAAUAAAACGUUCCACGUGUGGGAUUUUGUAUGUACCAUAUGAAUAAGGAUCGGCUAACUCCGUGCCAGCAGCCGCGGUAAUACGGAGGAUCCGAGCGUUAUCCGGAUUUAUUGGGUUUAAAGGGAGCGUAGGUGGAUUGUUAAGUCAGUUGUGAAAGUUUGCGGCUCAACCGUAAAAUUGCAGUUGAAACUGGCAGUCUUGAGUACAGUAGAGGUGGGCGGAAGUCGUGGUGUAGCGGUGAAAUGCUUAGAUAUCACGAAGAACUCCGAUUGCGAAGGCAGUUCACUGGACUGCAACUGACACUGAGGCUCGAAAGUGUGGGUAUCAAACAGGAUUAGAGACCCCAGUAGUC
Molecule: ribosomal RNA, 460 nt
Filed under: uncultured bacterium
Lineage: Bacteria
Description: partial 16S ribosomal RNA
Rfam family: Bacterial small subunit ribosomal RNA
Source: RNAcentral